This 91-nucleotide microRNA precursor is filed under the name Cricetulus griseus (Chinese hamster). RNAcentral describes it as "miRNA (ENSCGRG00001007244.1)". Lineage: Eukaryota; Metazoa; Chordata; Mammalia; Rodentia; Cricetidae. The record is from RNAcentral.
AAAUGGAAUAUUAUUUGGCUCUAAAGAAAAUUGGAAUAGGGCUGGAGAGAUGGCUCAGCUGUUAAAGGCUAGGCUCACAACCAAAAACAUA